Molecule: ribosomal RNA, 425 nt
Filed under: uncultured bacterium
Lineage: Bacteria
Description: bacterial SSU rRNA
Rfam family: Bacterial small subunit ribosomal RNA
Source: RNAcentral
AGGGAAUCUUCCGCAAUGGACGAAAGUCUGACGGAGCAACGCCGCGUGAGUGAUGAAGGCCUUCGGGUCGUAAAACUCUGUUGUUAGGGAAGAACAAGUACCGGAGUAACUGCCGGUACCUUGACGGUACCUAACCAGAAAGCCACGGCUAACUACGUGCCAGCAGCCGCGGUAAUACGUAGGUGGCAAGCGUUGUCCGGAGUUAUUGGACGUAAAGCGCGCGCAGGCGGUCCUUUAAGUCUGAUGUGAAAGCCCACGGCUCAACCGUGGAGGGUCAUUGGAAACUGGGGGACUUGAGUGCAGAAGAGGAAAGCGGAAUUCCACGUGUAGCGGUGAAAUGCGUAGAGAUGUGGAGGAACACCAGUGGCGAAGGCGGCUUUCUGGUCUGUAACUGACGCUGAGGCGCGAAAGCGUGGGGAGCAAAC